GAGUUCUCACGAGAUCUGAUGGUUUUAUAAGACUCUCUUCCUCGUUGCCUUCUCUCUCUCUCUCCUGCCACCUUGUGAAGAAGUUGUCUGCUUCCCCUUUGCUUUCUGCCAUGAUUGCAAGUUUCCUGAAGUCUCCCCAGCCAUUCAGAAUUAUUCAGUAUUUUCUCCCUGUGUGUGAAUGACAAAAGUAUUUACCUUGAUCACAUUGCUACAGUUGGAAGAGCUUCUAUAAGGAACCUCUCUGGGAGGCUCAUUAUCGGGAAAAUCACAAUCGAAGAGGAUAUCACAGUCCUGCAAUAUAG
This 302-nucleotide long non-coding RNA is filed under the name Homo sapiens (human). RNAcentral's name for it is "HSALNT0232223". Lineage: Eukaryota; Metazoa; Chordata; Mammalia; Primates; Hominidae. The record is from RNAcentral.